CAGCACGCGCCUAACGGCGUG
This 21-nucleotide small nuclear RNA is filed under the name Arabidopsis thaliana (thale cress). RNAcentral's name for it is "snRNA_14405". Lineage: Eukaryota; Viridiplantae; Streptophyta; Magnoliopsida; Brassicales; Brassicaceae. The record is from RNAcentral.